GAGAGAGAGAGAGAGAGAGAGAGAGAGAGAGUUCGGCUACUAUGCUAUUAAUAGCACGAAACACUUGGUGCUACUAAGUUUUCCACAGUUAGAUCUACCUUUUUGAUCAUUUUCAUCCGUUAAAUCAUACUAUUCAACCAACCACCCACUCAACCCUAGGGGGCCCACAUCAUUCUAACCGCAUAUCUCUUAAUCUAAUGGCCAAAAACUUGGUAGCACCAAUGACUUGGUGCUAUUAAUAGUAUAUUAGUCUAGUUUUAUAUAUAUAUAUAUAUAUAUAUAUAUAAUCCAUAGUUAGUUAAUUCGCAUACUGUAAAAAUUGGGUAUGGAUAUAAUACGAAUAAAAUUUGUAUAUUGAUUUUUAAAUUCGUUGAAAAAUACAUUUUUAAAAAAAGGAUUCGUCAAUAAUUCGAAUACGUGAUUUAUAAAAAAAUUUUACGUUUAUCAUUAAAUAAUUUGAAAUAAAAAUUCGUAUAUUAAGUUAAACUUUUUUUUUAGAUUUAUGCUAUUAUUAUAAAUAAUUAUAAAUUUUUUGAAUAUAAAAAUAAAAAAUAAAAAAUAAAAUGGAUCAAAUAAUAUAUAUAUAUAUAUAUAUAUAUAUAUAUAUAUAGGGAUAAUUGCCAAUAUACCCUUCAUGCGUUUGAAUAUAUCCGAUUUAUCCCUACUUUUUUUUUCUUUCUAAAAUACCCCUCAUAUGUUCCACCGUUAUUCCAAAAUACCCUCGCAGUUAUCCCCUGUUAAACUAACUCGGGUUAAACAUGGGUUAAAUGUAUACCAGAGUUAAAACCUAAUUAAAAUACCUAUUUUACCCCUAUCUUAUUAAACUAUUUCCUUAAAUUAUCCUUUCUUUCUCUCCCAACUUAACAUUAUUACUCUCGAUCAAGCCCGCCGCUCGCCGCCCGCCGCCCGCCGCCACGAGCGCCAGCAGCUCAUCGCCACCGCCAACCUCGGCGCCGGCUCCUCCGCCUCCACCUUCGCCCCCGAAGCCUCGCCUUAUUCGCACAAAAAAAACGGCCCGUGAGUCGCCGCUCUCGUCGUCGUCGUCGUCCUCUUCC
RNAcentral lists this long non-coding RNA (1055 nucleotides) under Ananas comosus (pineapple). RNAcentral describes it as "long non-coding RNA (ACOM_LNC018164)". The record is from RNAcentral. Lineage: Eukaryota; Viridiplantae; Streptophyta; Magnoliopsida; Poales; Bromeliaceae.